UCGAUCUUAGUUCAAUCAGGUAGAACGUGGGUUUCCAAAAUCCAAUGUCAUAGGUUCAAAUCCUACAGAGUGUG
This is a non-coding RNA of Gossypium arboreum, 74 nucleotides long. The record is from Rfam. NCBI's taxonomy places the organism in Eukaryota, Viridiplantae, Streptophyta, Magnoliopsida, Malvales, Malvaceae.